Molecule: long non-coding RNA, 718 nt
Organism: Oxyura jamaicensis (ruddy duck)
Lineage: Eukaryota; Metazoa; Chordata; Aves; Anseriformes; Anatidae
Exons: 3
Source: RefSeq, a predicted model, not a curated record
UUGCAGGAAAAGGCUCAAGUGUACUCCGUUAACAAAAGUAAACGAGCGCUGGUGGUGGGGACAUUCAUACAUAUAAGCAGACAGAGCAGCAGUCCCCCAGGAAUGCUCUUUUCUACAAGAGGUGACCCUUCAAUGCUUUUAGCAUUGCCACCAGCAGCUGGAAGUGUACAGAGUUCAGGAACUAGCUGUGUAACCAGUCACCUUGUGAAUAUAGAGGCAGCACCACAGGAAUUCUAUUUCUGAAGAAAACUGGACUGAAGACGACAGACUUCACGUUGCUGUUGGGACUUCAAAGCUUUACAAACUGUCGUCAAGUCGCGCGUCAAGGGAACGGACACUGAAGUUGGACUCACGCUUUUGUCCUCCUCUGGCUCCCGAGUCCCUGGUGUCUGUCUCUGCUCAGACAAGUCACCUGGCCCCAGCCCACCCAACAAGCAUCUGGCGAGCGGCUCCUGAUGCCGCGCGCUGCUCUGCCACUGAAUCACCGCCUUGACUGAAAUCCAAGGGCCCCACUUCGCGCUCCCUCCGGGGCGUGCAUGCGUGUGCGUGCAAGCACACCGCAGGCAACCCGGGCAUCAGCCCUGUCUGCAGAUAGCAAAUGUAAAUCACCAGCGGUGUUGCACAACCACUGUGUUAUGCCCGUGCAAAUCGGUCGGUCGGCUCACCUGCGUGAGCGCUUGCUCCCGUGCCUCUGCCCUGCAGAUCACGAUGCACCUGG